AGUGAACGCUGGCGGCAGGCCUAACACAUGCAAGUCGAGCGGCAGCGCGGGGGCAACCCUGGCGGCGAGCGGCGGACGGGUGAGGAAUUCGUCGGUAUCUGCCUUUCUGUUGGGGAUAAGGUAGGGAAACGUACGCGGAUACCGUAUACGACCUACGGGAGAACGUGGGGGACCGAAAGGCCUCACGCAGAAAGAUGAGCCGACGACCGAUUAGCUAGUUGGUGGGGUAAGGGCCCACCAAGGCGACGAUCGGUAGCUGGUCUGAGAGGAUGAUCAGCCACACUGGAACUGAGACACGGCCCAGACUCCUACGGGAGGCAGCAGUGGGGAAUAUUGGACAAUGGGCGCAAGCCUGAUCCAGCCAUGCCGCGUGUGUGAAGAAGGCCUUCGGGUUGUAAAGCACCGUUGUCCGGAAAGAAAACCCGGGAGCGAAUACCUUCGGGGGAUGACGGUACCUGAAGAAUAAGCACCGGCUAACUUCGUG
RNAcentral lists this ribosomal RNA (484 nucleotides) under uncultured bacterium. RNAcentral describes it as "partial 16S ribosomal RNA". It matches the Rfam family "Bacterial small subunit ribosomal RNA", at positions 30 to 507 of the family's 1533-position model. The record is from RNAcentral.